AGCUUUGUACAGUGGCAGUAUCGUAGCCAAUGAGGUUUAUCCGAGGCACGAUUACUGCUAAUUGAAAAUAUACAUCUGUUAACAUUUAUUUUUAGAGUAGGACUUUAUGUCAUAUGUAACACAGGCUUACAGAUACAU
Molecule: small nuclear RNA, 138 nt
Filed under: Chinchilla lanigera (long-tailed chinchilla)
Lineage: Eukaryota; Metazoa; Chordata; Mammalia; Rodentia; Chinchillidae
Description: U4 spliceosomal RNA (ENSCLAG00000020777.1)
Rfam family: U4 spliceosomal RNA (bases 1-124)
About the family: U4 small nuclear RNA (U4 snRNA) is a component of the major U2-dependent spliceosome. The structure of U4 snRNA from yeast and human has been reported.
Source: Rfam by way of RNAcentral